This 227-nucleotide long non-coding RNA is filed under the name Panax ginseng (ginseng). Its description in RNAcentral is "long non-coding RNA (PGIN_LNC013768)". The record is from RNAcentral. Lineage: Eukaryota; Viridiplantae; Streptophyta; Magnoliopsida; Apiales; Araliaceae.
GGAAGUCCUCUGUUUUAUUUUUACUUAUUUUUCGCAUGAGGACAUUGCUCUAGCUUAGUUUGGGGGUGGUUACGUUUUAUUUUUACCAGUUGUAGUUUGUUAUUAGUUUGUGGAUUGAUUAUUAGUAAAGUUGCAUUUAGGAUUGCAUGUCAAUUCUAGUUUUUGAGAGUGCGUAUAUCUGGGGCCAAUGAUGAAAGUAGAAUUGCAUGAACAAGUCUAGUAAGGAU